CUUUAAUAGAUUUGAGAGAAGGAGUUGAUUGCAGCAGAAUAGAGAGUUGAUUGUAGGAGACAAAAUAUCUGUUGGGAAAAAAAAAUUCAAACAAACUAAUCAAAUUUUUUUGAUAAUAAGCAUGCCAACCUAUUGAAUCUAAGAAUUAAAAAUUAUUAAAAAAGUUACAAGUACAUAGUGCCUUAGCUUUAAUCAACAAGAAAUAUAUCCUUCAGUUGUUUUAGUCCAAGAGAACAGUUAAAUAAUACAUAGUUAAGGACAAGAAUGAGAUUAUUAAAAAAAAAAAAGGACAAGAAUGCAUGCCAUCGAUACUUUAAGUACAUACAUGUUUGUCUUCACACGUCUUGUUUCACUGAUACAAAGUUUGAAUUAUAUUGAUGUGGAGAUCAAUCAACUUAAUUGAUUAUAAACAUUAAAAUAUAAAUAUAAUCUAUAGUUUAUAAGUUGCAAUUUAAAGACUAAGAUUUAUAUUUAUGCAUAGAGAUUCCAAGAAUUACUCCUUGUCCAAAUCUCCAACCACAAUCACCCUCAUCAGAGCAUGUACUGUAUGUUAUAUUUGAUAUCUAACCAAAUAUGGUUGGCUACACUUAAAGUCUAUUACACCAUGUAAGUAGAAACUCCAAAGCCUACUAACCUUGUAUUAUGUAAAGGAUCCACCAAAAGAACAGUAAGUACACUCCAAUCUACAUGUAAUAAUGUUGGAUAAAGAUUAAAGAACUUAUGAUGAGUUUUUGAGUAAUUGCUACAUAUGCAUGUUUCUAUGGUAAUAUAGUGUUCUACCAUGUCUGCAAGAAUAUUUCAGAAUUUUGUGGAACCUGAACCUACCAACUCUCAAUUUCUAAGCAAAGAGCCAAAAAGGACAUCAAGUUAGUACAUUUGUUCAUUUGUAUAGUCUAAUGUGAGGACCAUCGACAUCCUCGAGCUAUUCACACUCAUCCUCACUGAUCCAACAGUCAAUAGAUGAUAGCACCUUUUCACACCACCAUCCUCUCAAAAAAUGAUAUAAAAAUCUUAAUUAAAAAUGGAAUCAAUGUAGUUGAUUUGGGCCAAUUAUUUUCUUUUUCAAUAUGCAUAAGUUUAGAGGGAUUUACAGCCCUGAAAAGCUUCCUACUGCUGUUAAGGUGAGUACCAAAUGCUUCAAAUUCUUCUCUUGAAAAAUUGAUAAAAAAAGAAGGACAACACAGUAGUCCACUGUGUGGGAGACGGCAGCUUACAACUAAUUGACAUGUUAAUAUGUAAAAUAGCUAGCUAAUAUGUAGAUAGAAAAUAUCUAUAUGUAGUUAAAAUGUAAUAUGCUAAUAUGUAAAAAUAUUGACCACUGACUCCUAAUUAGUUAAUGACAUUAUACAUAAUGAACACGCAUGAAAGAAUAUUUAAAAUUCAAUAUAAUGCCAUGGUGUGUAGCAGUAGAUCAAGCACUACAUGCAUGGAGUCUUGGAGUGCUUAACACUCAUAAGCCAAAAUAGAUGAAAACUGAAAACAGUCUUCUAAGGCAGUAUGGUUGUUAUACUGUAUUUCCAUUUCAGGUGAUAAUUUUUUUUUUCAGGUCAGACCUAGCUAGCUAUAGCGGCUUAUUAAGGAAGACAUUUGGUUUCAUUUCCAACCAUUUUUGCUCAUAUAUUAAGGAACCAACCCUUAAGAAAAUUCAUUGUAAUACCUUCUUAUAUAUGACAGGAAUCAGUCGCCAAUGGAAAGAACACAUCCACUGCAGCUGAUGUAUUCUGUAUUCAGUACGCGUCUUUUCUUUUUAAACGAGAAUAACAAUGCUUUAAUAUCACUUACUUAACAAUGCCUUUCAAACUAUAAUAUCACUACUGCUUCUUUUUUACUGCUUCUUUGAAAAAUAAGUGAUUUUUAGGAUUUGGUGUGUUAGUUUUUAUGCACUACUGCUCCUUUUGAUGCUUCUAAAAAGGUGAUUUAUAGGCCUCAUAUAUUCGAUCGAUUGAUGAUUGUAUAUAAAAAUUAAAGGAAUAUAUCAUUUUCUUUUGGUGAUGCGUCCACACGGGCUGCAUUACAUAAAUAGAUUAAUCAUUAAUCUAAAUUUUAGAAAGGGAAUGUAGCUAUAAAUUCCAUUUCUUACUAAGUCACUGAUUUGUAAUCUUUUUGUAACAUAUUUUUUAAUCAAAUGCUUCAAAUUCUUCUCUUCAAAAAUUGGAAAAAAAAAAACAGAGGAGAACACAGCUUACAACUAAUUGACAUGUUAAUAUGUAAAAUAGCUAGCUAAUAUGUAGAUAGAAAAUAUCUAUAUGUAGCUAAAAUGUAAUAUGCUAAUAUGUAAAAAUAUUAAACUUUGAUGAGAAAUUUACAGAACAAUUCGAAAUAAAAGAUAAAACCAGGUGUAACUGAACAUAGUGAAACCAGGGGUACAACUUUUAUUAGCAUAGCUCUAUUGACCAAAGUUACAACCAUUAAUAUGGAGUAUGAAUGGAGUAUGUACAGUACCUUGUUUGGUAUGGAUGAGAGGUUGUUGGAUUCCUAUUGCUCAAGACUCUGAAUGAAAACAAAAUACAGACGACAAAAUUAAGUUAUAGGGAUUGUUCAGCAUAUCAUCAAGGAAAUAAAAACAGAGAAUAUAUCAUGAGAAUAAUAUGAUUCAAAACUACUGUUUAAUUGUCGAGCAUCAAUCGAAUCUCAAUUACAAUUGAACAUGGAGUACCGUUUAAUUGGGGCAUAAAACAACCUAGGUUGCCAUAAAACACUACAGUUGCCUUCACUUCUUGAGCAUGUCAUAAAGUUUGAAUUCAAAACUACCGUUUAAUUGUCGAGCAUCAAUGUUUAAUUGUCGAGCAUCAAUCGAAUCUCAAUUACAAUUGAAAAAGAAAGAGAAGAGAAUUAAAACAGAAGAGAAUUUACACAUUCGAAUCAGUAUAUUACACAAAAUAAGAAAGAUAGACUACCUGGUUCAAAUCGAUUGAUAGCAACGGGUGUGAAGAUUGUGCGCUGAGAUUGAGAGAGAGGAAUGUGGAAUUUUAGGCACUAAUUUCGGUUAGCAACAGAUAGUGGAGAAGCCAAAGCGCAACAGAAAUCUUCCACCUUCUUUUCCCACUACCCAUCUUCUUCUUCUUCUUCUUCUACUUCUUAUCUGAUGUUUCAGUUUAAUUUGUUGAGAUUGAAAUAAAAAUCUGAUUUUUAUUUUAUUUUUUUCUCAGAGAAAAGAGAAAGAUGAUGUACUCACUACUCACUACUC
Molecule: long non-coding RNA, 3187 nt
Filed under: Aquilegia coerulea
Lineage: Eukaryota; Viridiplantae; Streptophyta; Magnoliopsida; Ranunculales; Ranunculaceae
Description: long non-coding RNA (ACOE_LNC001418)
Source: RNAcentral